UGCUGAGCGGGGAGGCGGAGCCAUCUCCCCGCUGCGGCUCCCCGUUAACCCCUCCGGCCCCGGCGAGAGGCCUAUAGCAUCGCCGCGGUGGGUGGGGGACACGCACACCCCCCUCCCCGGGCUCCCCCCACCGACAAACUUUGAGGGUGGCGGCGUGGGAGGGAGCAUAAAUCAGACAAUGGAUGUAAACACUGGCUUAGAGGAGCUGCGUUAUUGCUGCGCUAUCGCUGCCUGCCGAUAUGAAGCUUUUUCAGCUGGUGGAGCAUAUGGCAGUUUUGAGGAAGGAACCUGGAAUUUGGAAUCAGCAAUUCUCAGGCUUUAAUCCUACUCCGGCUACAAAUGUCGCCUCCUCUCCAUCCUCCCCUCGUUUCAGAGGCCCAGACCCCGCUUGCCGCCGCAGUCGCAUCAUUUACUCUUUGCGCCUCGGUUUCUCCGGACGUCGAAGUGGGGCAGAUGAAGCAAUUCCCCUUCACCUUUGCAGAUCAGGCGCCAUUCAAGCAGCUUUUCGGACACAGAGCGACGUGCAAUUUCUCCAAACAACUCAACCUUUGAAAACCGAACACCUCCUCAGAGCAAAAAAAAAAUAUACAACACCCCAAAACCUGCAAAAAAGUUCAGCUGCAGAAAGAGCAGGGUUGAGCGUAUGAGCUCACUCUGACAUCACUGCCCGUGGCUUUCGUCCAGCAAGUGACAAAGACAGCAGACACCCCCUUUCCCUUCCAGAUCCCGCAGCCAAAUCCAGUGUGGAGCUCACAUCACGACCCCUCUCCGGACCCCCUCCUCACCCUUUCUUUAAUUGCCAUUCCUUUAAUCAACUUGCCCCCCCCCAGUAUUGGGCCAAGGAAAUGCUACUGUUGGAAGCACUUCAAGGGAAAGUUUCCGAAUGACUUCACUCUCUCCCAAGCCUGCAAGGCAGCAUGAAGAGAGUUCAAAUCCUCUGCUUUAUUCCCCCCUAAGCCAAUGAACAUGCUCGGGAUUCAGCUUAUCUCUGGCAUCAAAGCAAGUUUCUAUCAGAGGCGGCAGAAGCAGAGCUGGGCGACGGCGGUGUAAAUUUGGAGCGGGCUCAAAUGACUUCAGUGGAAUCACUCAGGAUCUUCCACUAAUGCGAGGGGGAAAAGGAAUCUGGUCCAGACAGCGUUACUGAAUGCAAAUGAGGUGUUCGCUAUCUUUCACAAAGAAAUAACCUUCCAGGCAACCCAUGAGCCUGAAAGUAGUAGCUGGGCUAACAGCAGAAAAUACAGCAUUUUGGUUCGUGCGGCGGGACGUGAGCCUACCUGCGUACAAGGGAGGGAGGAAGCCUAUCAGCUUAACUCUUAUUAGCAGACUUCUAGAGGGACAAGAAAGGGGGAAGAAAAAAAAGGAGAAAAAAAGAAAAGCAAAGCACACAAGCACAAGUGACACAAAGCAUUUGGGCAGAGCUGAAGAAUGGUGUAAGCACCGUAAGCAAUUAAAAGCAAAAAGUAAUGCAUCUCUUGGAGUGGCAAAAAGGAGUGGACCUGAUUUUGCACCAUUUUGCGAAGGUUUUGAUUAUUUUUAACAAAUCCAUCUUUGCCAGUUAGUUCUAAUAUCAGAAUAAAGUUUUGCAUUACGAAGCCUUAA
This is a long non-coding RNA of Chroicocephalus ridibundus (black-headed gull), 1599 nucleotides long. RefSeq lists it as uncharacterized. Lineage: Eukaryota; Metazoa; Chordata; Aves; Charadriiformes; Laridae. The record is from RefSeq and is a predicted model, not a curated record. The transcript has 2 exons.